This 393-nucleotide ribosomal RNA is filed under the name uncultured Chloroflexota bacterium. Its description in RNAcentral is "bacterial SSU rRNA". It matches the Rfam family "Bacterial small subunit ribosomal RNA", at positions 370 to 779 of the family's 1533-position model. Lineage: Bacteria; Bacillati; Chloroflexota. The record is from RNAcentral.
AAUGGGCGAAAGCCUGAAGCAGCAACGCCGCGUGCGCGAUGAAGGUCUUCGGAUCGUAAAGCGCUUUUCUGCGAGAUGAGAAAGGACAGUAUCGCAGGAAUAAGUCUCGGCUAACUACGUGCCAGCAGCCGCGGUAACACGUAGGAGGCGAGCGUUAUCCGGAUUCACUGGGCGUAAAGCGCGUGCAGGCGGUUUGGUAAGUUGGGCGUGAAAGCUCCCGGCUCAACUGGGAGAGGUCGUCCAAUACUACCGGACUAGAGAACAGAAGAGGAAGAUGGAAUUCCCGGUGUAGUGGUGAAAUGCGUAGAUAUCGGGAGGAACACCAGUGGCGAAGGCGGUCUUCUGGUCUGUUUCUGACGCUCAGACGCGACAGCUAGGGUAGUAAACGGGAUU